Long non-coding RNA from Ceratosolen solmsi marchali, 345 nucleotides. RefSeq lists it as uncharacterized. The record is from RefSeq and is a predicted model, not a curated record. The transcript is spliced from 3 exons. NCBI's taxonomy places the organism in Eukaryota, Metazoa, Arthropoda, Insecta, Hymenoptera, Agaonidae.
CACAUUUUGAACUUUAUAUUUAUUGUGAAAUAUAAUUUUACUGAUUCAACACUAGAUAUGGGCUAAAACUGGGAAAGUUUUUACCCACUAUAAAAUAAUACAAUUAAAAUGUUUUUUCCAAUUGGCUGGCCUCGUGUUUUAAGAUUUUCACAACCAGAAAAGAUAUGUUCUAUCACUUGUAAUCGUGAUAAAAUUCUUUUUGGUAUUCUUACUGUUGAUGGCAUUAGCAUUUGGUGUUGUAAACCUUGCGUUCCUCUUGUUUUUCAAAAACGCUCGAAAGAAUGUUUACAAAAAUAUGGUGAAAAUUUCAUAUUAGAAUGGCGCCCCGAUUCAAGUAUGCUUGCC